GACGAACGCUGGCGGCGUGCCUAAUACAUGCAAGUCGAACGCAUUUUCUUUCACCGUAGCUUGCUACACCGACAGAAAAUGAGUGGCGAACGGGUGAGUAACACGUGGGUAACCUGCCCAUCAGCGGGGGAUAACACUUGGAAACAGGUGCUAAUACCGCAUAAUUCCAUUUACUGCAUGGUAGAUGGAUGAAAGGCGCUUUUGCGUCACUGAUGGAUGGACCCGCGGUGCAUUAGCUAGUUGGUGGGGUAACGGCCUACCAAGGCUGCGAUGCAUAGCCGACCUGAGAGGGUGAUCGGCCACACUGGGACUGAGACACGGCCCAGACUCCUACGGGAGGCAGCAGUAGGGAAUCUUCGGCAAUGGACGCAAGUCUGACCGAGCAACGCCGCGUGAGUGAAGAAGGUUUUCGGAUCGUAAAACUCUGUUGUUAGAAAAGAACAAGGAUGAGAGUGGAAAGUUCAUCCCUUGACGGUAGCUAACCAGAAAGCCACGGCUAACUACGUG
Molecule: ribosomal RNA, 507 nt
Filed under: uncultured bacterium
Lineage: Bacteria
Description: partial 16S ribosomal RNA
Rfam family: Bacterial small subunit ribosomal RNA
Source: RNAcentral